GCCGGGUGUGGUGGCGGGCACCUGUAAUCCCAGCUACCCAGGAGGCUGAGGCAGGAGAAUUGCUGGAACCCAGGGGGGAAGAGGCUGCAGUGAGCCGAGAUUGUGCCACUGCACUCCAGCCUGGGUGACAAAGCAAGACUCUGUCUCAA
Molecule: non-coding RNA, 149 nt
Filed under: Chlorocebus sabaeus (green monkey)
Lineage: Eukaryota; Metazoa; Chordata; Mammalia; Primates; Cercopithecidae
Source: Rfam by way of RNAcentral